AGCAGCCGCGGUAAUUCCAGCUCCAAUAGCGUAUAUUAAAGUUGUUGCAGUUAAAAAGCUCGUAGUUGAAUUUCGGGGUCAGCAGGUCGGUCGUGCCUACGGUAUGCACUGGCCUUGCUGAUUCCUCCCUCUUGAUGAGCCGUAAUGCCAUUAAUUUGGUGUUGCGGGGAAUCAGGACUGUUACUUUGAAAAAAUUAGAGUGUUUAAAGCAGGCUAACGCUUGAAUACAUUGGCAUGGAAUAACGGAAUAGGACGUUCGAUCUUAUUUUGUUGGUUUCUAAGAUUGACGUAAUGAUUAAUAGGGAUAGUUGGGGGCAUUAGUAUUCAAUUGUCAGAGGUGAAAUUCUUGGAUUUAUUGAAGACUAACUACUGCGAAAGCAUUUGCCAAGGAUGUUUUCAUUAAUCAAGAACGAAAGUUAGGGGAUCGAAGACGAUCAGAUACCGUCGUAGUCUUAACCAUAAACUAUGCCGACUAGGGAUCGGAUGAUGUUAAUUUUUAAUGACUCAUUCGGCGCCUUAC
RNAcentral lists this ribosomal RNA (520 nucleotides) under uncultured Glomus. Its description in RNAcentral is "SSU rRNA". It matches the Rfam family "Eukaryotic small subunit ribosomal RNA", at positions 569 to 1091 of the family's 1831-position model. The record is from RNAcentral. Lineage: Eukaryota; Fungi; Glomeromycota; Glomeromycetes; Glomerales; Glomeraceae.